UGCGUGCACAAAUGUAAGUUGCUUUGGAUAAAAGUGUCUGCUAAAUGGCAUUUA
This is a non-coding RNA of Salmo salar (Atlantic salmon), 54 nucleotides long. NCBI's taxonomy places the organism in Eukaryota, Metazoa, Chordata, Actinopteri, Salmoniformes, Salmonidae. The record is from Rfam.